Suncus etruscus (white-toothed pygmy shrew) is the source of this 138-nucleotide small nucleolar RNA. RefSeq annotates it as small nucleolar RNA SNORA38. NCBI's taxonomy places the organism in Eukaryota, Metazoa, Chordata, Mammalia, Eulipotyphla, Soricidae. The transcript has a single exon. The record is from RefSeq and is a predicted model, not a curated record.
CCCUUCUACAAAGGCAUUUUUAUGGGUUCCUGUCUUUGGAUACCUAGGAAUCAAAAUGAAAGAAAUGUGGAAACUGGAGAAAUUUAGGGCUAGGGCUAACUUGCUCUGUGCUGCCUGAAGACCAAUAAUCCCACAUUG